CCUACGGGAGGCAGCAGUGGGGAAUAUUGCACAAUGGGGGAAACCCUGAUGCAGCGACGCCGCGUGAGUGAAGAAGUAUUUCGGUAUGUAAAGCUCUAUCAGCCGGGAAGAAAAUGACGGUACCUGUUUAAGAAGCCCCGGCUAACUACGUGCCAGCAGCCGCGGUGAUACGUCGGGGGCAAGCGGUAUCCGGAUUUACUGGGGGUAAAGGGAGCGUAGACGGGAGCACAAGUCUGGAGUGAAAUGCCGGGGCUUAACCCCGGAACUGCUUUGGAAACUGUGCAGCUAGAGUGCAGGAGAGGUAAGUGGAAUUCCUGGUGUAGCGGUGAAAUGCGUAGAUAUUAGGAGGAACACCAGUGGCGAAGGCAGCUUACUGGACUGUAACUGACGUUGAGGCUCGAAAGCGUGGGUAGCAAACAGGAUUAGAUACCCCUGUAGUC
RNAcentral lists this ribosomal RNA (440 nucleotides) under uncultured bacterium. Its description in RNAcentral is "partial 16S ribosomal RNA". It matches the Rfam family "Bacterial small subunit ribosomal RNA", at positions 338 to 795 of the family's 1533-position model. The record is from RNAcentral.